RNAcentral lists this long non-coding RNA (824 nucleotides) under Homo sapiens (human). RNAcentral describes it as "HSALNT0328940". Lineage: Eukaryota; Metazoa; Chordata; Mammalia; Primates; Hominidae. The record is from RNAcentral.
AUUAAAUAUGAAAGCAAACAGAUAAUUCAGACCUUCAAGAACUCUGAAAUUGUAUCUCCAGUAUGCCUUUUCUGUGGAAGAUCUUUGAGGAUAUACUCCAAUUAAAUGAGGGAGAAAACUGUAAUAGAUGAAGAGAUGAAUGCAGUUGCAGCCAAAUCACCUUAUUUAAAUGCAUCAUUACUGGACACUUCAAUGGUUUCUCCAUUUGAACACUGAAUUUUACUUUACUUCAAAUAUACUGGCACAAGCAGUCUACAUCAUUCAUGAUUUACCUGUUUUACUGUAUUAAAGUAAUAAUUUUACCCAUCUUCAAAGCCAUAUGCAUUACAUUAUUGCUACCAUGAGAAUUUAUGUAAACAAUGGGUAAUUGUUCCUGUCCAUGUGACCUUGUGCUAAUAAUUAUUCUAAAAUUGAAAUUUUUUUCUUUUCAUUGCUAUUCAUUACUUUUUUGUUUUUAAACAGGCAGCUUUCGAUUGCCAGAUUUAAGAGUGUGUUCGUUAGCAAAGCUGCCCUAGUUGAUUGACAUAGGUGUCCAAUGGCUUUCUCUGUCUUUCCUUGAUAGUAUUUCUAUGAGGAAUUUCAUUGUAUUACUCUGAUGCUGCUGAGAAUUUCCCUGCCUGCUUUUGUUACUUUGGCCUCCACUGUCACCUGACUUCCAUAGCAGAUGUCCACUCAAACCCUAGUCUUUCUACCUACAAUGCCAGUGAAAAUUUUAGCCUCCUUUCACUUUCUUCCUCUUCCUUCCCCUACUGGGGACCCUGACUCUUCAGACACAUUAGCAUCACUGACUGAAGAUCUUCCUAUUUUUGAUUAUUACUCUUUAC